This 338-nucleotide ribosomal RNA is filed under the name uncultured Hyaloscyphaceae. RNAcentral's name for it is "eukaryotic LSU rRNA". The stretch from base 44 to 205 matches the Rfam family "5.8S ribosomal RNA". The record is from RNAcentral. Lineage: Eukaryota; Fungi; Ascomycota; Leotiomycetes; Helotiales.
ACUCUGAAUACUUAGUAUCGNCUGAGUACUAUAUAAUAGUUAAAACUUUCAACUAACGGAUCUCUUGGUAUCUGGCUACUCAAUGAAAAACGCAGCGAAAUGCGAUAGAGUAAUGUGAUAUUGCAAAAUUUAUUGAAUCAUCNAAUCUUUGAACGCACUAUUGCGCCCCUUGUUAUUCCGAGGGAGCAUGCCGUGUUCAGAGCGUCAUUACAACCCUCAAGCAUUGCUUGGUAUUGGGCUCCGCUGCUCACCCAGCCGGCCUUAUAAGUCANUGGCGGUGCCGUCAGGCCCUGAGCGAUACGUAAAUAUCCUCGCUAUAGUGGACCUGCUGCACGCUG